This 68-nucleotide transfer RNA is filed under the name Ghauriana sinensis. RNAcentral describes it as "tRNA-Gln". The record is from RNAcentral. Lineage: Eukaryota; Metazoa; Arthropoda; Insecta; Hemiptera; Cicadellidae.
UGUAAAUAAGUGUAAGAUGCACUUAAAUUUUUGAUAUUUAAAGACAAGUUUAAUUCUUGAAUUUACAA